AGUGAACGCUGGCGGUAGGCCUAACACAUGCAAGUCGAACGGCAGCACAGUAAGAGCUUGCUCUUACGGGUGGCGAGUGGCGGACGGGUGAGGAAUACAUCGGAAUCUACUUUUUCGUGGGGGAUAACGUAGGGAAACUUACGCUAAUACCGCAUACGCCCUACGGGUGAAAGCAGGGGAUCUUCGGACCUUGCGCGAUUGAAUGAGCCGAUGUCGGAUUAGCUAGUUGGCGGGGUAAAGGCCCACCAAGGCGACGAUCCGUAGCUGGUCUGAGAGGAUGAUCAGCCACACUGGAACUGAGACACGGUCCAGACUCCUACGGGAGGCAGCAGUGGGGAAUAUUGGACAAUGGGCGCAAGCCUGAUCCAGCCAUACCGCGUGGGUGAAGAAGGCCUUCGGGUUGUAAAGCCCUUUUGUUGGGAAAGAAAAGCAGCAGGUUAAGACCCCGCUGUUCUGACGGUACCCAAAGAAUAAGCACCGGCUAACUUCGUG
This 492-nucleotide ribosomal RNA is filed under the name uncultured bacterium. RNAcentral's name for it is "partial 16S ribosomal RNA". It matches the Rfam family "Bacterial small subunit ribosomal RNA", at positions 29 to 507 of the family's 1533-position model. The record is from RNAcentral.